CUAAGUUUGAUGGCGACCGGCGCACGGGUGAGUAACACGUAUCCAACCUGCCGAUGACUCGGGGAUAGCCUUUCGAAAGAAAGAUUAAUACCCGGUGGCAUAGUUCUUCCGCAUGGUAGAACUAUUAAAGAAUUUCGGUCAUCGAUGGGGAUGCGUUCCAUUAGGUUGUUGGCGGGGUAACGGCCCACCAAGCCUUCGAUGGAUAGGGGUUCUGAGAGGAAGGUCCCCCACAUUGGAACUGAGACACGGUCCAAACUCCUACGGGAGGCAGCAUG
This 275-nucleotide ribosomal RNA is filed under the name uncultured bacterium. RNAcentral describes it as "partial 16S ribosomal RNA". It matches the Rfam family "Bacterial small subunit ribosomal RNA", at positions 79 to 353 of the family's 1533-position model. The record is from RNAcentral.